AGUGAACGCUGGCGGUAGGCCUAACACAUGCAAGUCGAACGGCAGCACAGUAAGAGCUUGCUCUUACGGGUGGCGAGUGGCGGACGGGUGAGGAAUACAUCGGAAUCUACUUUUUCGUGGGGGAUAACGUAGGGAAACUUACGCUAAUACCGCAUACGACCUACGGGUGAAAGCAGGGGAUCUUCGGACCUUGCGCGAUUGAAUGAGCCGAUGUCGGAUUAGCUAGUUGGCGGGGUAAAGGCCCACCAAGGCGACGAUCCGUAGCUGGUCUGAGAGGAUGAUAGGCCACACUGGAACUGAGGCACGGUCCAGACUCCUGCGGGAGGCAGCAGUGGGGUAUAGGAGGCAGUAGGCGCAAACCUUGUCCAGCGGUACCGAGUGGGAGGAGGAGGCGUUGGGUGUGUGAAGACCUUUUGUGGGGAAAGAAAAGCAGCAGGUUAAGACGCAGCUUUACUGACGGUAACCAAUGAAUAAGCACCGGCUAACUUCGUG
This 492-nucleotide ribosomal RNA is filed under the name uncultured bacterium. RNAcentral's name for it is "partial 16S ribosomal RNA". It matches the Rfam family "Bacterial small subunit ribosomal RNA", at positions 29 to 507 of the family's 1533-position model. The record is from RNAcentral.